RNAcentral lists this ribosomal RNA (258 nucleotides) under Staphylococcus aureus. RNAcentral describes it as "partial 16S ribosomal RNA". It matches the Rfam family "Bacterial small subunit ribosomal RNA", at positions 1 to 248 of the family's 1533-position model. The record is from RNAcentral. Lineage: Bacteria; Bacillati; Bacillota; Bacilli; Caryophanales; Staphylococcaceae.
UUUAUGGAGAGUUUGAUCCUGGCUCAGGAUGAACGCUGGCGGCGUGCCUAAUACAUGCAAGUCGAGCGAACGGACGAGAAGCUUGCUUCUCUGAUGUUAGCGGCGGACGGGUGAGUAACACGUGGAUAACCUACCUAUAAGACUGGGAUAACUUCGGGAAACCGGAGCUAAUACCGGAUAAUAUUUUGAACCGCAUGGUUCAAAAGUGAAAGACGGUCUUGCUGUCACUUAUAGAUGGAUCCGCGCUGCAUUAGCUAG